CUGCAGCCAGUUAAGCUAACAGGGCUUCUUUUGCCUGGAGAGGUCCAGUGCACAGUGGCUACCCCUGGGUAGAAUGUGGAGCCUGUUGCUUCUGUGGGUCACUCUGAGAUACCUAGGAGAACAGCU
This 126-nucleotide small nucleolar RNA is filed under the name Fukomys damarensis (Damara mole-rat). RNAcentral describes it as "Small nucleolar RNA SNORA70". It matches the Rfam family "Small nucleolar RNA SNORA70". Rfam says of the family: snoRNA U70 seems to be exclusive to mammals and is a member of the H/ACA class of snoRNA which contain H (ANANNA) and ACA box motifs. H/ACA box snoRNAs are involved in the conversion of uridines to pseudouridines (5-ribosyluracil) a constituent of structural RNAs (transfer, ribosomal, small nuclear, and small nucleolar). The record is from Rfam by way of RNAcentral. Lineage: Eukaryota; Metazoa; Chordata; Mammalia; Rodentia; Bathyergidae.